GAAAACCGGGUAGACCUGGAGCU
RNAcentral lists this microRNA (23 nucleotides) under Haemonchus contortus (barber pole worm). RNAcentral describes it as "hco-miR-5917". The record is from miRBase by way of RNAcentral. Lineage: Eukaryota; Metazoa; Nematoda; Chromadorea; Rhabditida; Trichostrongylidae.